RNAcentral lists this ribosomal RNA (483 nucleotides) under uncultured bacterium. RNAcentral describes it as "partial 16S ribosomal RNA". It matches the Rfam family "Bacterial small subunit ribosomal RNA", at positions 28 to 507 of the family's 1533-position model. The record is from RNAcentral.
GACGAACGCUGGCGGCGUGCUUAACACAUGCAAGUCGAACGCUGAAGCUCAGCUUUUGUUGGGUGGAUGAGUGGCGAACGGGUGAGUAACACGUGAGUAACCUGCCUCCUUCUUUGGGAUAACGCCCGGAAACGGGUGCUAAUACUGGAUAUUCACUGGUCUUCGCAUGGGGGUUGGUGGAAAGGGUUUUUCUGGUGGGGGAUGGGCUCGCGGCCUAUCAGCUUGUUGGUGGGGUGAUGGCCUACCAAGGCGUUGACGGGUAGCCGGCCUGAGAGGGUGACCGGUCACAUUGGGACGGAGAUACGGCCCAGACUCCUACGGGAGGCAGCAGUGGGGAAUAUUGCACAAUGGGCGCAAGCCUGAUGCAGCGACGCCGCGUGAGGGAUGGAGGCCGUCGGGUUGUGAACCUCUUUCGCUCAUGGUCAAGCCGCAACAAUGGUUGUGGUGAGGGUAGUGGGUAAAGAAGCGCCGGCUAACUACGUG